CCAAAGGAAAGAAGGCCAAGGGGGAAGAAGGUUGCUCCAGCCCCUCGUGUCAUCAAGAAACAAGAGGCCAAAAAAGUAGUCAAACCUUUUUUUUUUUUUUUUUUUUUUUUUUUUUUUAAUAAAAGGCCCAAGAUCUUCACCAUUGGACAGGACAUCCAGCACAAAAGAGAUCUCACAUGCUUCGUCAAAUGGCUCCACAACAUCAGGCUGCAGCGGCAAAGAGCCAUCCUCUAUAAGCAGCUCAAAGUACUUCCUGUCAUUAAUCAGUUCACCUAGGUCCUGGACAGGCAAACUGCUACUCAGUUGCUUAAGCUUGCCCACAAGUACAGGCCAGAGACAAAGCAAGAGGAGAAACAAAGUCUACUGCCCCGUGCUGAGAAGAAAGCUGCUGGCAAAGGGACAUCCCAACUAAAACACCACCUGUCCUCCAAGCAGAAGUCAAUACAGUCACCACCUUGAUGGAGAACAAGAAGGCUCAGCUGAUGGUGACUGCCCAUGACAUAGACCCCAUUGAGUUUGGUGGUUUUCCUGCCUUCUCUGGGUCAAAAGAUGGUGGUGCCUUACUGCAUCAUCAAGGGAAAUGCCAGCGUGGGGUGCCUGGUCCACACGAAGACAUGCACCAUUGUUGCCUUUACACAGGUGAGCUCGGGAGACAAACGUGCUCUGGCUAAGCUGGUGGAAGCUGUUAGGACCAAUUACAAUGGCAGAUAUGAUGAGAUCCGCCUCUACUGGGGAGGCAAUGCCCUGGGUCCUAGGUCUGUGGCUUGCAUUGCCAAGCUGGAAAAAGCAAAGGCUAAAGAAUUCGCCAAUAAAACAGGUUAA
This 822-nucleotide long non-coding RNA is filed under the name Mus musculus (house mouse). RNAcentral's name for it is "long non-coding RNA chr14:96231952-96232774". Lineage: Eukaryota; Metazoa; Chordata; Mammalia; Rodentia; Muridae. The record is from RNAcentral.